RNAcentral lists this ribosomal RNA (301 nucleotides) under uncultured bacterium. RNAcentral describes it as "partial 16S ribosomal RNA". It matches the Rfam family "Bacterial small subunit ribosomal RNA", at positions 509 to 807 of the family's 1533-position model. The record is from RNAcentral.
CAGCCGCCGCGGUAAUACGUAGGUGGCAAGCGUUGUCCGGGAUUAUUGGGCGUAAAGGGCUCGCAGGCGGUUUCUUAAGUCUGAUGUGAAAGCCCCCGGCUCAACCGGGGAGGGUCAUUGGAAACUGGGAAACUUGAGUGCAGAAGAGGAGAGUGGAAUUCCACGUGUAGCGGUGAAAUGCGUAGAGAUGUGGAGGAACACCAGUGGCGAAGGCGACUCUCUGGUCUGUAACUGACGCUGAGGAGCGAAAGCGUGGGGAGCGAACAGGAUUAGAUACCCCAGUAGUCCCUGUCUCUUAUAC